Molecule: non-coding RNA, 1571 nt
Organism: Nerophis lumbriciformis (worm pipefish)
Lineage: Eukaryota; Metazoa; Chordata; Actinopteri; Syngnathiformes; Syngnathidae
Source: the annotation of a RefSeq genome assembly
CUUUCAAAACAUAAUCAUCUAUACCUCUGCGGUAUAUUUUUUGGGGACAAAUGUGUCUUUCUCCAAUAAUGAAGUAUUGAAGAGGCAUAUUUCCCCCGUUACUACACCUAUGUAUGUGAUGUGUUGGUGAAGUGCCGCCCUCUUUGGGAUUAGGCCCCGCCUCCUCAGCCACCAAGUCAGCGUGCACAGAGCCCAGGAGUGCAAACAUGAAGCGUGCAUUAGUGUGUGUGCUGAUGGCUGCCUGGAGCCUUGGAUGUGGCAGCCAGACGGUGCACCAACCAGCAGAGAAUGUGUACGCCAUGAAAGGCGACUCAGUUAAGCUGGACUGCAGCUAUGAAGAUUCUGGAGGCAACAACUACAUCUUCUGGUACAAACGGGACGGGCAGGCGGCACCAAAGUUCAUCCUGAGCCUCUCCAUGACGAGUCAGGGCAAGACUGAGAGCAGCUUUGAAAAGAGGUUCAGCUGCAGCAUCAACGACACCGCCAAGCGAGCUCCUCUGAAGAUCGAAGACAUGCAGCUGAGCGACUCUGCAGUCUUCUACUGCGCCAUCCAGCCCACAAUGACUGACAUCUCUGCUGCACCUGCACAAAAACCUCUGACAUCACGAGGGUGGCGAACUGGAGAUGUUUUUUAUUUACAUACCUUAAUUGUUUCCAAACCGUGUCUCUAACACGGCAGUAAACAGCUGAUCAAACACAACAGAAGUCAUCGUCAUGGACCCACUGGCUGCAGAAGUUAGCUCUCCAUCAGCUAAACAGACUCAAUCAGUCCACGGUGACGUUUUAGUGAAUUCAGUGAGGAAUUUGUGAAACUGAAACAAUGCAAAUAGGAUGCCAUUGUAAGUUAAUAACACUAACACAAACACCUGUAAAUGUGUAGGCAUACUAGCUAAUGCCAACAACGCUAGAUUCAUUACAUUACGUAUGAAUAAGCAUGAAAACACUUCUACAGACAUCACACGUGGGACGGUUCAAAAAGGAAAAAUUGUUUCAGUUAAACUGUCAAACUUACAAAUGUUGCUUGGAGUGAUAAAUGAAAAAUCCUUUCGAGCAAAAAUGCUAUGAACGCUUAUUCCUGGUUUACAGAAUCAAAACAGGAAGUACAAUUUCAACCCUCAAUCCUGCUGUGAGCAAACUUGUCCAAAAGAUGGAGCCAUAGGACAAUUAUUAUUUCAGCCAUCUACUUUCCAGGUGAGAGGUAGGAUUUAUUAUCUACAAUACACUUACAGGGAGCAGGGAAGCGAGGAAAUAGAAGACCACUCGAUGAUGUAAACAUAGGGACAUAAGGAAGUGAUCACAGCGCCGCUAUAAAUAGUGUGUCUUUGUUAGCGCUCAUAAUAACAAUAUCACUAGUACUUGGUUAAUAUUCAAGUCCUGAAAUGUAACUUAAGUAUUGUUGGCGCUUUUCGAAUGGUUAUUUAUCCAAUUGUAUGGGCGGAAUAAUGGAGUUCCUAUUGGCUUUGCUGUAAGCUGACUUUUAUUUACUUUUAUUUUAUAUUUGGACUGCAUAAAAAAAAUCCUUCCGUUGUCAUGUCUUUCAUCAUGAUUGUGAACGAUAGGCAAAACUCCCC